CUGAUGCAGCAACGCCGCGUGGGGGAUGAAGGCCUUCGGAUUGUAAACUCCUGUCGCCCGGGACGAAUGGCUCCGACCUAACACGUCAGAGUCUGGCGGUACCCGGUGAGGAAGCCCCGGGUAACUCUGUGCCAGCAGCGUCGGUAAUACAUAGGGGGCGAGCGUUGUUCGCAAUUACUGGGCGUAAAGGGCGCGUAAGCGGCCUGCUAAAACCCAACGUGAAAUCCCCGGGCUCAACCCGGGUACUGCGUCCGAUACUGGGGGGCUUGAAUCCGGGAGAGGGAUGAUGGAUUCCAGGUGUAGCGGUGAAAUGCGUAGAUAUCUGGAGGAACACCCGUGGCGAAAGCGGCAUCCUGGACCGGUAUUGACGCUAAGGCGCUAAAACCCCUGGGAGCGAACGGGAUUGUAAUACCCCGGUAUUCCUGGCCCUAAACAAUGAACGCUUGGUGUGGGGGG
RNAcentral lists this ribosomal RNA (456 nucleotides) under uncultured Holophaga sp. RNAcentral describes it as "bacterial SSU rRNA". It matches the Rfam family "Bacterial small subunit ribosomal RNA", at positions 383 to 829 of the family's 1533-position model. Lineage: Bacteria; Pseudomonadati; Acidobacteriota; Holophagae; Holophagales; Holophagaceae. The record is from RNAcentral.